GGUUCAAUGGUGUAGUUGGUUAUCACGUCCGUCUCACAUGGGGCGGUGCACGGGAGGUCUCCGGUUCGAACCCGGGUUGAACCA
Non-coding RNA from Fomitopsis schrenkii, 84 nucleotides. NCBI's taxonomy places the organism in Eukaryota, Fungi, Basidiomycota, Agaricomycetes, Polyporales, Fomitopsidaceae. The record is from the annotation of a GenBank genome assembly.